AAACAAUUAUGCUCCAGCUAAUGCAACUGAUAGUGGGCCCAAGGAGACGCAAACAAUAUCAGAUCUGAUUCCAGAAUCCUCAGAUCCUGCGGAGUUUUGGCAGAUUAAUAAACUACCUCUCAUCUGGGGAAAGCAAAGACAGUCUCCUUUGUGUCUGGACGAGUGGGCUGCUUUCUUAGACACAGAAGGACGGAUAAUAGAUUCAGAAUCACUGAAAAAAAGAAUAUUUUAUGGGGGAGUUGAGCACAACCUGCGAAAAGAGGUCUGGAAAUUUUUGCUGGGAUAUAACGAGUAUAAUUCAACCUACGCUGAGAGGGAUUAUCUUGCAUCCAUGAAGAAGUCCGAGUAUGAAACUGUAAAAUCUCAAUGGCAGAAUAUAUCAGCAAUACAAGCCAAACGGUUUACAAAGUUCAAGGAGCGGAAAGGUCUCAUCGAAAAGGACGUGGUGAGGACAGACAGAUCCAUCUCUUACUAUGACGG
This 480-nucleotide unclassified non-coding RNA is filed under the name Hevea brasiliensis (rubber tree). Lineage: Eukaryota; Viridiplantae; Streptophyta; Magnoliopsida; Malpighiales; Euphorbiaceae. The record is from RNAcentral.